GUGCUUGCUUCCACAGCACAUAUACUAAAAUUGGAAUGAUACAGAGAAAAUUAUCAUGGCCCCUGUGCAAGGGUGACACCCAAGUAACCAUUCCAUAUUUUU
Vombatus ursinus (common wombat) is the source of this 102-nucleotide small nuclear RNA. Lineage: Eukaryota; Metazoa; Chordata; Mammalia; Diprotodontia; Vombatidae. The record is from Ensembl.